AGUUUUGCACAGUGGCAAUAUCGUAGCUAAUGAGGUUUAUCCAAGGUGUGGUUAUGGAUAAUUGAAAAAAAAAAAGGACUCUAGAGAAAUUUCUUACCUCUUCUUCCAUGUGAGG
RNAcentral lists this small nuclear RNA (115 nucleotides) under Neogale vison (American mink). Its description in RNAcentral is "Neovison vison (American mink) U4 spliceosomal RNA (ENSNVIG00000019742.1)". It matches the Rfam family "U4 spliceosomal RNA". Rfam says of the family: U4 small nuclear RNA (U4 snRNA) is a component of the major U2-dependent spliceosome. The record is from Rfam by way of RNAcentral. Lineage: Eukaryota; Metazoa; Chordata; Mammalia; Carnivora; Mustelidae.